CAAAAACGCUAAACCCCACACCCCCCAAUUUCCCUCUCUCGUCCCUACAAAACAAUAGCUCUGUGCUUCUCCCUCUAAAACGCACGCGUUUCGGUGUUGAUUGUUCUCUCUCUAACCCUAGGCUUGCGAUCCAUCCAAUCAUUUCCAGGGGCGAAGGAAAAAACCUCUGUCGUACUUUACAUAUAUACACCUACACCUACACCUACACGUAUACUUGUAUAGUUUUGUAUACGUAUAUUCAUUUUCCUUGGUGGAUAUUAAAUGCGUUUGAUCGGAGAACCACUUUUAGGGAUUCUUGUGGUUUUGUCAUUUCUGGCUUAUCCUAUCCUCUCUGCCAUUUUUGUCUCUUAAGCUUCUUUCUUUCUGUCUCUCUGUUGGUUUUCGGUACUGUACUCUUUGCUUUGUCGACACUGUUCUCGCGCAGUAAAUUCUGCUGCUGCAUUUUUUUUAAUUUCCAAUUUUCCUGUUCCCAAAAUUUUCCUGGAAAUACAUUUUUUUCCAUUUCAGUCACAGCAUACUACCUUCUACUUCCUUCAAGACUUCCUCCUUUAACCUCAACCCUUCGUUUCGAGAGAG
RNAcentral lists this unclassified non-coding RNA (576 nucleotides) under Hevea brasiliensis (rubber tree). The record is from RNAcentral. Lineage: Eukaryota; Viridiplantae; Streptophyta; Magnoliopsida; Malpighiales; Euphorbiaceae.